RNAcentral lists this long non-coding RNA (1766 nucleotides) under Hordeum vulgare. RNAcentral's name for it is "long non-coding RNA (HVUL_LNC006010)". Lineage: Eukaryota; Viridiplantae; Streptophyta; Magnoliopsida; Poales; Poaceae. The record is from RNAcentral.
CAUAUCUUGACAAGUAGAUACGAAAAUGUGGUUAUUCAUUUCUUUAGUUACUUAUAAAACCAUAAUUUCUAAUUCUACGCAACCAUAUUUUAUGACUUUGCAAAUUUACUUAGCAACUAGAUAGGAAAGUGCAACAUGUCAUGUAUUCCCUACCAAAUCUUGGAGAAAAACUCCAUAAUAUGGUGUUGGUGUUGAUUGCAUGCACUUGCAGUCCUCCAAAAUAGAUGGCAGACAUGAAUUGCAAGAUUAUUAAAGGCUUUGUUUCCAUCCAGUUAGAGAGAGAGAGAGAGAUAGGUAGAGAGAGAGACUAAUCGAGAUAUGUCGAUGGUGAUGUUUGAUAGAGAAAAGUGAAGUAAGAGGUUGAUGGCCGCAGAGGGAGCCAUCAACGAGGCACAUCGCCUUGGCAAUGACAACAUCGAGGCGCUUUUAUUUUCUCCAAUUUUGUGUGUUCAUCUCUACUUGGUUUCAUGGUCAGUACGAGCGACACAUCUUGAAUGUAUUCUUCAUUUUACCAUGCUUUCUACUACUACACAUGUCAUAUUAAUUAUGAGUUGAAUGUCCACGAUGAGGAGGUAUUACAAUGCGACUACAAGGGGUUCAAAAAGCAUGUUCUCAAUGGGGGGGAAUCACGCGGUGACUAGAAGACACUACAAGUGAGUGAUGGAUGAAAAUAUAUUAUGUUAUAAUUAAUAAAUACCAUUGGAAUAUUAAUUAUCAAAUAAUGGGUGGACAGUUUGGCACCACUAAGCCAUGCCGGCCGCUGAUAUAUCGUGCCUAUUGAUUAUUUUCCCCUUAGGAAUCUUUUUAUUAUAUUGCGAUUUUCCUAAUUCCAUGUAAUGUCACGAGCAUACUUAUCUCCAAAAUCCAAAAGGCAUGAUUCGCCUUAUUCUUCUGUUUGAUACUCACCGCACAAGUGUGUCCUGGUCAUCAAUAUGGCAACAAAGAAAUGCAAGCAUGCAUUGGAGCAAUCGCAUACCUAGGACAUCCUAUACCGUGGCCCAUGUCAUGAGACCAGAUUCGUUUGUUGACUGUGUCACAUUCAGCUCGUAAAUUCUAGCUUGGGUCUUGCACCUUCGUGUGCCACCGCUUGGCUAGUCCAAGUGAAACGAUAACUUUAUUUGGGGAGGAAACGUACAUCCAUGACCUUAAUGUAAUGGUACCCCCUUGAUUGUAUUUUUGUCAUUUGGAAAACCUAUACCAUGUUCCUCGCAUGCCCUACAAUCGAGACUAGACUCUUCCCUUUUGUUCAUUCAUUCGCCGGGGCCAUCAUCACCCAACUGACUUGAAUGAACUAGGAGAUGACACACAUUGUCCAAUGUGAAGAAUUGUGAACCAAGGACCAAAAUCCGGCAACCACACUACAUCUGUCCCCUUUGCCCUCAGCCUUGGCAACAAGCUUCCUACCUGCUCUCAUGUUACUGAGGUGUCAGUAUAUUAAUAGAGCUUCUGGUUGUGUCCUUGCACAUAUUUGGUAAUUAGGGCUAUGCUCUACGUGUAAUUUUAUUGUCUGCACUAAGGCAAAACACAUUUCGAGCUCAAUUGUCUCACGUUAAAUCCAUUCAUUGAGCAAUUUUGAGUGUUACUACUUAGAUGUUAUAUUUAUUGGUGGAUUGGGUUGGCUAGGUCCUAAAAUGUAGCUGCUAUUUGAUUGGUGACUAUGAUGACCAACUCGUUUAGUUGUCACAAUGUGUUGAGUAUUUCAUAAAUUUGGACUUUAAAUGGUUGAUGAUGCUUUCCAUUUGAGACUCGACACGUGUAGGUUUGAU